Molecule: ribosomal RNA, 18 nt
Filed under: Wuchereria bancrofti
Lineage: Eukaryota; Metazoa; Nematoda; Chromadorea; Rhabditida; Onchocercidae
Description: partial 5.8S ribosomal RNA
Source: RNAcentral
UUAAUUUUUUUUUUUUUU